RNAcentral lists this ribosomal RNA (492 nucleotides) under uncultured bacterium. RNAcentral's name for it is "partial 16S ribosomal RNA". It matches the Rfam family "Bacterial small subunit ribosomal RNA", at positions 29 to 507 of the family's 1533-position model. The record is from RNAcentral.
AGUGAACGCUGGCGGCAGGCCUAACACAUGCAAGUCGAACGGCAGCACAGUAAGAGCUUGCUCUUACGGGUGGCGAGUGGCGGACGGGUGAGGAAUACAUCGGAAUCUACUUUUUCGUGGGGGAUAACGUAGGGAAACCUACGCUAAUACCGCAUACGAUCUUCGGGUGAAAGCAGGGGAUCUUCGGACCUUGCGCGAUUGAAUGAGCCGAUGUCGGAUUAGCUAGUUGGCGGGGUAAAGGCCCACCAAGGCGACGAUCCGUAGCUGGUCUGAGAGGAUGAUCGGCCACACUGGAACUGAGACACGGUCCAGACUCCUACGGGAGGCAGCAGUGGGGAAUAUUGGGCAAUGGGCGCAAGCCUGAUCCAGCCAUACCGCGUGGGUGAAGAAGGCCUUCGGGUUGUAAAGCCCUUUUGUUGGGAAAGAAAAGCAGCAGGUUAAUACCCCGCUGUUCUGACGGUACCCAAAGAAUAAGCACCGGCUAACUUCGUG